GCCCCUCAAGCACCGACGCCAUUUUACCUUCAUGCGACCGAGACGGUGAGUUGGAUUGCUUUUCUCUUUAUAAAAUUACACGGAAGAAAUACUUUUUGUUGAAACUUUUAUUCAAAAUAUGAUUGGUGGAAAUUUAGAAAUUACUAACUGCAAGUGUUUUUGUCAGGUUUACGGUGUUAUGUUCGUGAGGUGUAGAGAUGCAACGUUAGCCUGCAGAAGAGUGAAAGUUUUCAUUUCCUGAAAUAAGAAUUGGCCCAGACUUCUGCAGUGUCAAGUGAAGGAAGCUCCUCUCAUAAGAUUGCAAACCUGGAGUCUGAUGACUCACUCACUGAGCGAGAGUGAAGGAAGCCCUUCAAGAAAGGAGCAGAAUGCUGAAGAUGAAGCCAGAAUUAAGCCAAGUUCCUGGCUUUUCCCAAGACCUUCAAGGACACGACUGACCUCGGAAUCAGCUGUAAAGGAGGAUGAAACCGAUGUUUAAGAACGGGACAGUGAUAUUGCAUCAAUUUGUCUCCUUCAUUUGGUUCCACCACCAAAAAUGUCCUCCUAUCAAGCUGAAAAACAUCUUCAAAAAGGUGCUAUAUUAACACUAAAAAUUCAACACUAUGAAUGGUGUACUUUUAAUACUAGAUAGAUUGGGACCAUAUAUGAUCUUCAGUAGUGUUAAAAUUGACACUUUAAGUGUUAAACUGACACCGCAUUUUUUACUGUGAACCCAUUGUGAGAUGUUUUUAAAUUACAAUACUUUGCUUAUGUAAUACUUAAUUAGGAAAAUUAUGCAAAUGAAUCAACACAAGAAGGAUGCUUAAAUUACUCAACGCAGAUUUACUGUAUCACGUGCACCAACAUCAAACAACUGUUUCUGUGAGCAUCAGGUUAAACUGGAUCUUUCUCAUCUCAAAUUACAUAAUGCAUGUUUGUUUUUCAUUUUAAAAGUUUUUUUUGCUCUUGAAUAUUUUACAGUAGGUGUCACCACAUUGAGUGAUUGACUAAAGAAAGGGUGUUAGACAUUCAAAAUGUUUACUGUUGGAGGACAGAGAAACAACUGUGUAGCUUUAUUAAUUCCAGUCAUGAAAUAAAAAAUGACCGAUAACAGGUUUGUGUUCUUUCCUCCACAAAAACUAAAUAACCAAAUAACAAUUUUUGUACAGUACAGUAUAAUUCUCUCUCUCUUUUUGAAUCUGGGGCCAGUUUCACUAGCACAGCUGCUAUCUUAUUUACUAUCUUAAGAACUAGUCUGACCAGCUAGCUGUUAGCCAAGAAGUAAUCAGUCU
Long non-coding RNA from Onychostoma macrolepis, 1271 nucleotides. RefSeq lists it as uncharacterized. NCBI's taxonomy places the organism in Eukaryota, Metazoa, Chordata, Actinopteri, Cypriniformes, Cyprinidae. The record is from RefSeq and is a predicted model, not a curated record. The transcript is spliced from 5 exons.